GACGAACGCUGGCGGCGUGCUUAACACAUGCAAGUCGAACGAUGAUGCCCAGCUUGCUGGGUGGAUUAGUGGCGAACGGGUGAGUAACACGUGAGUAACCUGCCCCUGACUCUGGGAUAAGCGUUGGAAACGACGUCUAAUACUGGAUAUGACUGCCGGCCGCAUGGUCUGGUGGUGGAAAGAUUUUUUGGUUGGGGAUGGAUUCGCGGCCUAUCAGCUUGUUGGUGAGGUAAUGGCUCACCAAGGCGACGACGGGUAGCCGGCCUGAGAGGGUGACCGGCCACACUGGGACUGAGACACGGCCCAGACUCCUACGGGAGGCAGCAGUGGGGAAUAUUGCACAAUGGGCGAAAGCCUGAUGCAGCAACGCCGCGUGAGGGAUGACGGCCUUCGGGUUGUAAACCUCUUUUAGUAGGGAAGAAGCGUAAGUGACGGUACCUGCAGAAAAAGCACCGGCUAACUACGUGCCAGCAGCCGCCGUAA
This 483-nucleotide ribosomal RNA is filed under the name uncultured bacterium. RNAcentral's name for it is "partial 16S ribosomal RNA". It matches the Rfam family "Bacterial small subunit ribosomal RNA", at positions 28 to 523 of the family's 1533-position model. The record is from RNAcentral.